GGGAUUGUGGCUCAGUGGUAGAGCACUCGCCUAGCAUGCAUGAGGCCCUGGGUUCGAACUUCAGCACCA
RNAcentral lists this transfer RNA (69 nucleotides) under Ictidomys tridecemlineatus (thirteen-lined ground squirrel). Its description in RNAcentral is "Spermophilus tridecemlineatus (thirteen-lined ground squirrel) tRNA". It matches the Rfam family "tRNA". Rfam says of the family: Transfer RNA (tRNA) molecules are approximately 80 nucleotides in length. Their secondary structure includes four short double-helical elements and three loops (D, anti-codon, and T loops). The record is from Rfam by way of RNAcentral. Lineage: Eukaryota; Metazoa; Chordata; Mammalia; Rodentia; Sciuridae.